Molecule: RNA transcript, 1852 nt
Organism: Musa acuminata AAA Group (dessert banana)
Lineage: Eukaryota; Viridiplantae; Streptophyta; Magnoliopsida; Zingiberales; Musaceae
Exons: 9
Source: RefSeq, a predicted model, not a curated record
CCCCCUCGAGCCCCCUUUUGUCUCUUCGAUCGUUUUCUAGGGUUCCCUUUAGAGCUCCUCGUCGACGUCGCCUUCAGCCGCCGCGACCUGGGUUUCCUCGCUUCCGUCAUGGACGCCCAGAGAGCUCUCCUUGACGAACUCAUGGGUGCAGCACGAAAUCUCACGGAGGAACAGAAGAAGCGGUACAAGGAGAUCCGGUGGGACGACAAGGAGGUCUGUGGCGCGUAUAUGGUUCGGUUCUGCCCGCACGAUCUCUUUGUGAACACAAAGAGUGAUCUUGGAGCUUGCCCUAAAAUCCAUGACCCGAAACUAAAAGACAGUUUUGAGAAGUCUCCUAGGCAUGAUGCUUAUGUUCCCAGGUUUGAAGCAGAGCUUGCACAGUUCUGUGAGAAGCUGGUGAUGGAUUUGGAUAGAAAAGUUAAGCGUGGUCGUGAUCGGUUGGCACAAGAAGUUGACGCAACACCUGCUCCAGUCCCUGCCGAAAAAUCAGAACAACUCUCUGUGUUGGAAGAAAAAAUAAAGAAACUUCUAGAACAAAUUGAGACACUUGGUGAAUCAGGGAAGGUAGAUGAAGCUGAGGCACUCAUGAGAAAGGUGGAUAUGCUGAAUGCCGAGAAGACAGCCCUGACCCAACAAUCAGCAAAUGAUAAGGCUAUGAUGCUUCCACAAGAGAAGAAGAUGGCACUAUGUGAGAUCUGUGGUUCAUUUCUGGUGGCGAAUGAUGCUGCUGAGAGGACACAAACUCAUGUAAGUGGGAAGCAGCAUAUUGGCUACGGCAUGGUCCGAGAUUAUCUUAGUGAGUUCAAGGCUGUGAAAGAAAAGGCAAAGGAAGAAGAAAGACUAGCUAGGGAGAAGGAAACAGAUGAGCGGAAGAAAGUGAAGGAUAAGGAUCAUGAGAAUAGGGUUAGAGAGCGUGAUCCGGUUGGAAGAGAGAGGUCUAGGGAGCGGGAACGUGAACGUGAUAGGUAUAAAGACCGGAGCUCCGAGAGAGAGAGAUCAAGGGAUUGGAGUGGAAGAGGAAGCAGGGAUGGAGGAAGAGGAUUGGAUCGUAGGCAUGACUAUCACAGGAAUGGGAGGGAAUCAGACAGGGACAGGUUCCGAGACAGGUCUGGAGCACGAAGCAGAUCCAGAUCUCCUGCCAGGCAUGGUUAUAGAAGAUCAAGAAGUCCAGUUCGACAAUACUAGCUGUUAGUAUAAAUAGUUUGUCAAAAAGUACUGAGAUCCAAGAGCUCUGUUGAAGUCAUAUGGUCAUCCAAUUAAAAGAAAAACAUUGAGGUAGGUAUUACUGAUCCCUCCUUUUUUCUUAUAAAGUCAUUUUGAGCUGCAACUAUUAUAUCUUUCAUUUGUAUCUAUGGGCUCUUUCACAGAGUGUCAGAUUUUUUUUGUUUAGCAUUUUUUUUCAAUCAUAAUUAAGAUGACAGAUCCAAAAUGAUGACAUGAAUGGUGUGGCAAUGAAGAUGAUGAUUAUUAAUCAACCUAUAGAGUGCUGUUGAAUGUUCUUCGAGGCGGGAUUCCUCCACACAUUCUCAAUUCACCGUUCGUGUGUUCGCAAUGUUAUAUCUGUCUGCUCUAGAAUUUGGUUUCGUUGAACAUUUUGCUCUUGUAACUUGCUGCUAUUUGAGUUACGAGAACAUGAUAGAGCAUAAUGAAAUUAUGUGCGAAUUUUAAGGGUACGUUGGGGAGAUUUGUUGUCGCCCCUACUUAGGAAUCGACGCAAUGAUGCAACGCACGAUGAUGCCUGGGUGGGACUUUUCACUGAUAAUCUAUAAUCUCGGUCGAUGUUUCUGUACGUUUGAACGACUUACACAUGUACCGGAUCAAAGAGAUAAAAUUGAGCUUUAUUUGUGAUACG